AUCGCUUCUCGGCCUUUUGGCUAAGAUGAAAGUGUAGUAUCUGUUAUGGAUGUACAUAAAUCUUAGUCGUUUGUUAUGUCAGUCCUAUUUAGGGUUAGGCUGCCGGGGUCGAGAGGCGAUCUAAUCUACUACUCAAUCAAUUAUAGAUUUGUGCUGCAACUACACUAAUUAUACUAGACCAUAC
Small nuclear RNA from Physella acuta, 184 nucleotides. RefSeq annotates it as U2 spliceosomal RNA. Lineage: Eukaryota; Metazoa; Mollusca; Gastropoda; Physidae. The record is from RefSeq and is a predicted model, not a curated record.